RNAcentral lists this ribosomal RNA (418 nucleotides) under uncultured microorganism. RNAcentral describes it as "bacterial SSU rRNA". It matches the Rfam family "Bacterial small subunit ribosomal RNA", at positions 9 to 423 of the family's 1533-position model. The record is from RNAcentral.
GAGUUUGAUCCUGGCUCAGAUUGAACGCUGGCGGCAUGCCUUACACAUGCAAGUCGAACGGCAGCAUGAUCUAGCUUGCUAGAUUGAUGGCGAGUGGCGAACGGGUGAGUAAUACAUCGGAACGUGCCCUGUAGUGGGGGAUAACUAGUCGAAAGAUUAGCUAAUACCGCAUACGACCUGAGGGUGAAAGUGGGGGACCGCAAGGCCUCAUGCUAUAGGAGCGGCCGAUGUCUGAUUAGCUAGUUGGUGGGGUAAAGGCCCACCAAGGCGACGAUCAGUAGCUGGUCUGAGAGGACGAUCAGCCACACUGGGACUGAGACACGGCCCAGACUCCUACGGGAGGCAGCAGUGGGGAAUUUUGGACAAUGGGCGAAAGCCUGAUCCAGCAAUGCCGCGUGUGUGAAGAAGGCCUCGGUGU